GUAAGUCUAAGAUUAACGAUGUCAGGCAAAAUGUUUUUCAUCUCAGAUUUCCUGUCUUUACUAGCUUCUUUGCCCAGUGACGGGUGAUUUUGGAAAGAGUUAACAAAUGACAUCUCUGUUUACAGUUUUUGAGAGACAUUAGAAGUUCACUCCUCAGGGAUCCCCUGAAUCUGCAACAACCUUAGCACAGGCCAACUAGACCACAGGUAUCUUCACUUUUACCUAACAACAUAUCUGUUGUAAUUCAAUUAAGCUUACAGCAAGAUGGCCCUAUUCUUGUUGUUUUAUAGCAGCCACAAGAACUCCUGUUAAACUGCUUUCAAACAUUAAACUUGUCUGUACACUGUUUGGAGAAUUCAUUUCAACCCUAAAGACAUUGAAAACAGGAUAUGACAACAUGUUGGAGUGAAAGCUGUGUUGAUACUUGAGGAUCUGGUAUAAAUCAAAUUUCAGCUCUGGUAAUCAGUUCAGUUUGAGCCUUUUUUCAAAUGCACAACUUGUGUUUAAUUCUGUGGGAUGUAUUUUAGUUGCUGCUCUGUCUGCAAGCAGAGAGGCUAUAAUUGUAUAUUUUUUAUUGUAAAAUAAAAAUAGCCAGCUGUUUUAUUUAGCCAUAA
Rana temporaria (common frog) is the source of this 614-nucleotide long non-coding RNA. RefSeq lists it as uncharacterized. The record is from RefSeq and is a predicted model, not a curated record. The transcript is spliced from 3 exons. Lineage: Eukaryota; Metazoa; Chordata; Amphibia; Anura; Ranidae.